GGUUCAAUGGUGUAGUUGGUUAUCACGUCUGUCUCACACUGAACCCAGUGCACAGGAGGUCUCCGGUUCGAACCCGGAUUGAACCA
Non-coding RNA from Postia placenta MAD-698-R-SB12, 86 nucleotides. The record is from the annotation of a RefSeq genome assembly. Lineage: Eukaryota; Fungi; Basidiomycota; Agaricomycetes; Polyporales; Adustoporiaceae.